This 2279-nucleotide ribosomal RNA is filed under the name Acinetobacter baumannii. Its description in RNAcentral is "partial 23S ribosomal RNA". It matches the Rfam family "Bacterial large subunit ribosomal RNA", at positions 667 to 2925 of the family's 2925-position model. The record is from RNAcentral. Lineage: Bacteria; Pseudomonadati; Pseudomonadota; Gammaproteobacteria; Moraxellales; Moraxellaceae. RNAcentral also lists the same sequence under 1 other name.
CGUAGAGAAAUCGAGUCUUAAUAGGGCGUUUAGUUGCUGGGUAUAGACCCGAAACCAGGCGAUCUAUCCAUGAGCAGGUUGAAGGUUGGGUAACACUAACUGGAGGACCGAACCCACUGUCGUUGAAAAGCCAGGGGAUGACUUGUGGAUAGGGGUGAAAGGCUAAUCAAGCCUGGUGAUAGCUGGUUCUCCCCGAAAGCUAUUUAGGUAGCGCCUCGGACGAAUACCAUAGGGGGUAGAGCACUGUUUCGGCUAGGGGGUCAUCCCGACUUACCAAACCGAUGCAAACUCCGAAUACCUAUGAGUACUAUCCGGGAGACAGACUGCGGGUGCUAACGUCCGUAGUCAAGAGGAAAACAAUCCAGACCGCCAGCUAAGGCCCCAAAAUCAUAGUUAAGUGGGAAACGAUGUGGGAAGGCAUAGACAGCUAGGAGGUUGGCUUAGAAGCAGCCACCCUUUAAAGAAAGCGUAAUAGCUCACUAGUCGAGUCGGCCUGCGCGGAAGAUGUAACGGGGCUAAAACUAUGUGCCGAAGCUGCGGAUGUAUACUUUGUAUACGUGGUAGGGGAGCGUUCUGUAAGCCGAUGAAGGUGUGUUGAGAAGCAUGCUGGAGGUAUCAGAAGUGCGAAUGCUGACGUGAGUAACGACAAAACGGGUGAAAAACCCGUUCGCCGAAAGACCAAGGGUUCCAGUCCAACGUUAAUCGGGGCUGGGUGAGUCGACCCCUAAGGCGAGGCCGAAAGGCGUAGUCGAUGGGAAAAUGGUUAAUAUUCCAUUACUUCUGUGUAAUGCGAUGAGAGGACGGAGAAGGCUAAAUCAGCCUGGCGUUGGUUGUCCAGGUGAAAGGAUGUAGGCAUGUAUCUUAGGCAAAUCCGGGGUACUCUAUGCUGAGAUCUGAUAGCAAGCUGUACUUGUACAGCGAAGUGGUUGAUGCCAUGCUUCCAGGAAAAGUCUCUAAGCUUCAGUUACACAGGAAUCGUACCCGAAACCGACACAGGUGGUCAGGUCGAGUAGACCAAGGCGCUUGAGAGAACUCUGCUGAAGGAACUAGGCAAAAUGGUACCGUAACUUCGGGAGAAGGUACGCUGUUGUUGGUGAUGGAACUCGCUUCCUGAGCUGACGACAGCCGCAGAAACCAGGCCGCUGCAACUGUUUAUUAAAAACAUAGCACUCUGCAAACACGAAAGUGGACGUAUAGGGUGUGAUGCCUGCCCGGUGCUGGAAGGUUAAUUGAUGGGGUUAGCGUAAGCGAAGCUCUUGAUCGAAGCCCCAGUAAACGGCGGCCGUAACUAUAACGGUCCUAAGGUAGCGAAAUUCCUUGUCGGGUAAGUUCCGACCUGCACGAAUGGCAUAAUGAUGGCGGCGCUGUCUCCAGCAGAGGCUCAGUGAAAUCGAAAUCGCUGUGAAGAUGCAGUGUACCCGCGGCUAGACGGAAAGACCCCGUGAACCUUUACUGCAGCUUGACACUGAACUUUGACCUUACUUGUGUAGGAUAGGUGGGAGGCUUUGAAGCUGGAACGCUAGUUCCAGUGGAGCCGUCCUUGAAAUACCACCCUGGUAAUGUUGAGGUUCUAACUCUGUCCCGUGAUCCGGGACGAGGACCGUGUCUGGUGGGUAGUUUGACUGGGGCGGUCUCCUCCUAAAGAGUAACGGAGGAGUACGAAGGUGCGCUCAGCGUGGUCGGAAAUCACGCGUAGAGUAUAAAGGCAAAAGCGCGCUUAACUGCGAGACCCACAAGUCGAGCAGGUACGAAAGUAGGUCUUAGUGAUCCGGUGGUUCUGUAUGGAAGGGCCAUCGCUCAACGGAUAAAAGGUACUCUGGGGAUAACAGGCUGAUACCGCCCAAGAGUUCAUAUCGACGGCGGUGUUUGGCACCUCGAUGUCGGCUCAUCUCAUCCUGGGGCUGAAGCAGGUCCCAAGGGUAUGGCUGUUCGCCAUUUAAAGAGGUACGCGAGCUGGGUUUAGAACGUCGUGAGACAGUUCGGUCCCUAUCUACCGUGGGCGCUGGAAAUUUGAGAGGAUCUGCUCCUAGUACGAGAGGACCAGAGUGGACGAACCUCUGGUGUACCGGUUGUGACGCCAGUCGCAUCGCCGGGUAGCUAUGUUCGGAAGGGAUAACCGCUGAAAGCAUCUAAGCGGGAAGCCUACCUCAAGAUAAGAUUUCCCUAGGACUUUAUGUCCUCUAAAGAGCCGUUCGAGACUAGGACGUUGAUAGGUUGGAUGUGGAAGCAUAGUGAUAUGUGAAGCUGACCAAUACUAAUUGCUCGUGAGGCUUGACUAU